RNAcentral lists this ribosomal RNA (330 nucleotides) under uncultured eukaryote. RNAcentral describes it as "partial 18S ribosomal RNA". It matches the Rfam family "Eukaryotic small subunit ribosomal RNA", at positions 1470 to 1796 of the family's 1831-position model. The record is from RNAcentral.
CCCUUAGAUGUUCUGGGCCGCACGCGCGCUACACUGAUGCAUUCAACGAGUCUAAAACCUGGUCUGAUAGGGCUGGGUAGUCUUUUGAAAGUGCAUCGUGAUUGGGAUAGAUGAUUGCAAUUCUUCAUCUUCAACGAGGAAUGCCUAGUAAACGCAAGUCAUCAGCUUGCAUUGAUUACGUCCCUGCCCUUUGUACACACCGCCCGUCGCUCCUACCGAUUGAAUGAUCCGAUGAAUACCAUGGAUUGAGAGUACGAAUGGGUUCGCUCAUUUCUGCUGCUCGAGAAGUGGAGUAAAUCUUAUCAUUUAGAGGAAGGAGAAGUCGUAACA